Molecule: long non-coding RNA, 352 nt
Filed under: Homo sapiens (human)
Lineage: Eukaryota; Metazoa; Chordata; Mammalia; Primates; Hominidae
Description: HSALNT0275189
Source: RNAcentral
AAAAGAAAAAGCAGAAUGGAAUCUCUGUUUAUUCUCAACGUAUCAGUUGUGCCUCUCUUCAAUUUGAAACUCUCACUAUUGGCUAUAUUUGGGGGUGCCCUAUUUCCCAUCUCAUAACUUAUUUCAAGAAUCACAGCAUAAUAAUGUGUGAGCUUGGGAUUCAGUUUUUGAAACAAAACACUGAGCCUUCAAUGACCUUCCUGUACAUGUAAAAGCACACCUGUCUGCCUGGCAGCAGUUGGACCUCCCAAUGUGGAUUGUGACUUCACCCUGGAAUGUUUAUGCCCUAUCGCCAUGGUGAUGGGAUUAGGGAUCUCCUGCUGUUGGUCCUAAGUGCCACUGUCUGUGCUGA